GGGUUGUGAGGUUAAGCGACUAAGCGUACACGGUGGAUGCCCUGGCAGUCAGAGGCGAUGAAGGACGUGCUAAUCUGCGAAAAGCGCCGGCGAGGUGAUAUGAACCUUUGACCCGGCGAUGUCCGAAUGGGGAAACCCAGUGUGAUUCGUCACACUAUCGUUAACUGAAUACAUAGGUUAACGAGGCGAACCGGGGGAACUGAAACAUCUAAGUACCCCGAGGAAAAGAAAUCAACCGAGAUUCCCCCAGUAGCGGCGAGCGAACGGGGAGCAGCCCAGAGUCUGAAUCAGCUUGUGUGUUAGUGGAAGCGUCUGGAAAGUCGCACGGUACAGGGUGACAGUCCCGUACACGAAAGCACACUUGCUGUGAACUCGAAGAGUAGGGCGGGACACGUGGUAUCCUGUCUGAAUAUGGGGGGACCAUCCUCCAAGGCUAAAUACUCCUGACUGACCGAUAGUGAACCAGUACCGUGAGGGAAAGGCGAAAAGAACCCCGGCGAGGGGAGUGAAAAAGAACCUGAAACCGUGUACGUACAAGCAGUGGGAGCACCUUCGUGGUGUGACUGCGUACCUUUUGUAUAAUGGGUCAGCGACUUAUAUUCUGUAGCAAGGUUAACCGUAUAGGGGAGCCGAAGGGAAACCGAGUCUUAACUGGGCGUUAAGUUGCAGGGUAUAGACCCGAAACCCGGUGAUCUAGCCAUGGGCAGGUUGAAGGUUGGGUAACACUAACUGGAGGACCGAACCGACUAAUGUUGAAAAAUUAGCGGAUGACUUGUGGCUGGGGGUGAAAGGCCAAUCAAACCGGGAGAUAGCUGGUUCUCCCCGAAAGCUAUUUAGGUAGCGCCUCGUGAACUCAUCUUCGGGGGUAGAGCACUGUUUCGGCUAGGGGGCCAUCCCGGCUUACCAACCCGAUGCAAACUACGAAUACCGAAGAAUGUUAUCACGGGAGACACACGGCGGGUGCUAACGUCCGUCGUGAAGAGGGAAACAACCCAGACCGCCAGCUAAGGUCCCAAAGUCAUGGUUAAGUGGGAAACGAUGUGGGAAGGCACAGACAGCCAGGAUGUUGGCUUAGAAGCAGCCAUCAUUUAAAGAAAGCGUAAUAGCUCACUGGUCGAGUCGGCCUGCGCGGAAGAUGUAACGGGGCUAAACCAUGCACCGAAGCUGCGGCAGCGACACUAUGUGUUGUUGGGUAGGGGAGCGUUCUGUAAGCCGUUGAAGGUGUGCUGUGAGGCAUGCUGGAGGUAUCAGAAGUGCGAAUGCUGACAUAAGUAACGAUAAAGCGGGUGAAAAGCCCGCUCGCCGGAAGACCAAGGGUUCCUGUCCAACGUUAAUCGGGGCAGGGUGAGUCGACCCCUAAGGCGAGGCCGAAAGGCGUAGUCGAUGGGAAACAGGUUAAUAUUCCUGUACUUGGUGUUACUGCGAAGGGGGGACGGAGAAGGCUAUGUUAGCCGGGCGACGGUUGUCCCGGUUUAAGCAUGUAGGCGGAGGUUCCAGGUAAAUCCGGUACCUUUUAACGCUGAGGUGUGAUGACGAGGCACUACGGUGCUGAAGUAACAAAUGCCCUGCUUCCAGGAAAAGCCUCUAAGCAUCAGGUAACAUCAAAUCGUACCCCAAACCGACACAGGUGGUCAGGUAGAGAAUACCAAGGCGCUUGAGAGAACUCGGGUGAAGGAACUAGGCAAAAUGGUGCCGUAACUUCGGGAGAAGGCACGCUGAUAUGUAGGUGAAGCCCCUGCGGGUGGAGCUGAAAUCAGUCGAAGAUACCAGCUGGCUGCAACUGUUUAUUAAAAACACAGCACUGUGCAAACACGAAAGUGGACGUAUACGGUGUGACGCCUGCCCGGUGCCGGAAGGUUAAUUGAUGGGGUUAGCGGCAACGCGAAGCUCUUGAUCGAAGCCCCGGUAAACGGCGGCCGUAACUAUAACGGUCCUAAGGUAGCGAAAUUCCUUGUCGGGUAAGUUCCGACCUGCACGAAUGGCGUAAUGAUGGCCAGGCUGUCUCCACCCGAGACUCAGUGAAAUUGAACUCGCUGUGAAGAUGCAGUGUACCCGCGGCAAGACGGAAAGACCCCGUGAACCUUUACUAUAGCUUGACACUGAACACUGGUCCUUGAUGUGUAGGAUAGGUGGGAGGCUUUGAAGUGUGGACGCCAGUCUGCAUGGAGCCGUCCUUGAAAUACCACCCUUUAAUGGCUGGUGUUCUAACGUAGACCCGUGAUCCGGGUUGCGGACAGUGUCUGGUGGGUAGUUUGACUGGGGCGGUCUCCUCCCAAAGAGUAACGGAGGAGCACGAAGGUUAGCUAAUCCUGGUCGGACAUCAGGAGGUUAGUGCAAUGGCAUAAGCUAGCUUGACUGCGAGAGUGACGGCUCGAGCAGGUGCGAAAGCAGGUCAUAGUGAUCCGGUGGUUCUGAAUGGAAGGGCCAUCGCUCAACGGAUAAAAGGUACUCCGGGGAUAACAGGCUGAUACCGCCCAAGAGUUCAUAUCGACGGCGGUGUUUGGCACCUCGAUGUCGGCUCAUCACAUCCUGGGGCUGAAGUAGGUCCCAAGGGUAUGGCUGUUCGCCAUUUAAAGUGGUACGCGAGCUGGGUUUAGAACGUCGUGAGACAGUUCGGUCCCUAUCUGCCGUGGGCGCUGGAGAAUUGAGGGGGGCUGCUCCUAGUACGAGAGGACCGGAGUGGACGCAUCACUGGUGUUCGGGUUGUCAUGCCAAUGGCACUGCCCGGUAGCUAAAUGCGGAAAAGAUAAGUGCUGAAAGCAUCUAAGCACGAAACUUGCCCCGAGAUGAGUUCUCCCUGAGACUAUAAGUCUCCUGAAGGAACGUUGAAGACGACGACGUUGAUAGGUCGGGUGUGUAAGCGCAGCGAUGCGUUGAGCUAACCGAUACUAAUGAACCGUGAGGCUUAACCUUACAACGCCGAAGGUGUUU
Molecule: ribosomal RNA, 2931 nt
Filed under: Lelliottia nimipressuralis
Lineage: Bacteria; Pseudomonadati; Pseudomonadota; Gammaproteobacteria; Enterobacterales; Enterobacteriaceae
Also listed under: 1 other name
Description: bacterial LSU rRNA
Rfam family: Bacterial large subunit ribosomal RNA
Source: RNAcentral